RNA transcript from Rattus norvegicus (Norway rat), 3442 nucleotides. It is a transcript of the gene named SPNS lysolipid transporter 2, sphingosine-1-phosphate, with no coding region annotated. The record is from RefSeq and is marked validated. Lineage: Eukaryota; Metazoa; Chordata; Mammalia; Rodentia; Muridae.
CAGCUGUCAGAGCCGCCGGGGCCGCCCGUCUCACUGAUUGAACAGUAGCAGCAGCGCAGCCAGGGCUGGAGCCCGAGCGCAGAAGCCGACGGGCCGGGCCGGGAUGGUGCAGCGGCGGCUCCGCGGCGCGCGCACGCACUGAGCGGGCCCGGGCUGGGCCUCGCGUCCCCCGCGCCCCCCGCGCCCCCCGCCGCCCCGGUCCUGGCGGGCAUGAUGUGCCUGGAAUGCGCCUCGGCGGCGGCGGGCGGCGCGGAGGAGGAGGAGGCGGACGCCGAACGGCGGCGCCGGCGCCGGGGGGCGCAGCCAGGGGCUGGAGGUAGCGCUUGCUGCGGGGCGCGGGGUGUUGGGGGCGCUGGAGUCGUGUCCGCGGACGAAGAGGUGCAGACGUUGUCCGGCAGCGUGAGGAGGGUCCCGUCCGGACUCCCCAGCAUCCCCAGUACCCCGGGCUGCGCAGCCGCUGCCAAGGGCCCCGGCGCGCCGCAGCCCAAACCCGCCAGCUUGGGCCGAGGGCGGGGGGCAGCCGCUGCCAUCCUGAGCUUGGGCAACGUGCUCAACUACCUGGACAGGUACACUGUGGCAGGUGUUCUUCUGGACAUCCAGCAGCACUUUGGGGUCAAGGACCGGGGCGCUGGCUUGCUGCAGUCAGUGUUCAUCUGCAGCUUCAUGGUGGCUGCCCCCAUCUUUGGCUACCUGGGCGAUCGCUUCAAUAGAAAGGUGAUCCUCAGCUGCGGCAUCUUCUUCUGGUCGGCCGUCACCUUCUCUAGUUCUUUCAUCCCUCAGCAGUACUUCUGGCUGCUGGUCCUGUCCCGGGGGCUAGUAGGUAUUGGUGAAGCUAGCUAUUCCACCAUAGCACCCACCAUCAUCGGCGACUUAUUUACCAAGAACACACGCACACUGAUGCUAUCAGUCUUCUAUUUUGCCAUCCCUCUGGGCAGUGGCCUGGGCUACAUCACAGGUUCCAGCGUGAAGCAGGCAGCUGGAGACUGGCAUUGGGCCCUGCGGGUUUCCCCUGUCCUGGGCAUGAUCACAGGAACACUCAUCCUCAUCUUGGUCCCAGCCACUAAGAGAGGCCAUGCUGAUCAACUUGGGGGGCAGCUCAAAGCACGGACCUCCUGGCUCCGAGACAUGAAGGCCCUGAUCCGGAACCGCAGUUACGUCUUCUCCUCCCUGGCCACAUCCGCUGUGUCCUUCGCCACAGGAGCCCUGGGCAUGUGGAUUCCCCUCUAUCUGCACCGUGCUCAAGUUGUACAAAAGACAGCAGAGACUUGCAACAGCCCGCCCUGUGGAGCCAAAGACAGCCUCAUCUUUGGGGCCAUUACCUGCUUUACUGGCUUUCUGGGCGUAGUCACAGGCGCGGGAGCCACUCGCUGGUGCCGCUUGCGCACUCAGCGCGCUGACCCCUUGGUGUGCGCCGUGGGCAUGCUGGGAUCUGCCAUCUUCAUCUGCCUCAUCUUUGUGGCUGCCAAGACCAGCAUCGUGGGCGCCUAUAUCUGCAUCUUUGUUGGCGAGACACUGCUGUUUUCUAACUGGGCCAUCACUGCAGACAUCCUCAUGUAUGUGGUCAUCCCCACUCGACGAGCCACUGCUGUGGCCUUGCAGAGCUUCACCUCCCAUCUGCUGGGGGACGCUGGAAGCCCCUACCUCAUUGGCUUUAUCUCGGACCUAAUCCGCCAGAGCACCAAGGACUCCCCACUCUGGGAGUUUCUGAGCCUGGGCUAUGCCCUCAUGCUGUGCCCUUUUGUUGUGGUCCUGGGUGGCAUGUUCUUCCUUGCCACUGCUCUCUUCUUCCUCAGCGAUCGUGCCAAGGCUGAGCAGCAGUCCCUGCCCAGCGCCUCCGGUCUACCGGCCCCAGUGAUUCGAUGUGCCAGAGCCGUGCCUGGGCCCAGUCCCCGCUGAUGUGCCACCCUGACCCCCGUCCGUCUCUCCCUCAGGGUGAACCAGCUGGUGAUGCCGCCUGCAUCCGUGAAAAUCUGAGGUGGUGCCGCUGGGACAGCAAUGAACUGCAGUUUAGAUUGGGAGAGGUUCUCCAGCAUCCUGGACCUGCAGGACGGUCGCAAAGCUUCCUGUGUGACUCACAGUUGGGUACACACCCUCUUUGGCCUAGGACUGCCAGGACUGAGUGGCCCUAUCUUCAAGAAGCUGCAUCCUCAGUGAACCUAGAAGGCUGUGUGUGCUGGAGUCACUCAGUUGGACACAACUCCAGCCCUGGUUGGGGGCUGAAGGGCCAAGAUAGAAGCAGCCACCCUGCAGUGGGUAUUUGGGGAGAUUCUGGUCCACCCUUAGCUCAUGUGAUCUUGAGGGAGCCACUAUCCUCCCUAGACAGUGGAACCAAGGAGCUGGAGCUUCCUCCAUUGUGUGCCAUGCAUGGCACCCUCCACAACUUUGAAGAAACAGGCCCGGGGCUGUACACAGAAGACACCGCUCAGGUCUCAGGACCUCAGUUCCGGUUCUGAGGUCUGCCUAAGGCUCUGGUGGACGGGGACCACUUCCCCACUUGUAGGCGCUAACCUUGGGAACAGCAAAUUCAGCCUGGCAUGCGUAGCUGGGCACACACCUCUGGGUGUUCGUGGGUGGGACAGUCUCCCAGGAGGAUACUGUCUCUGCUGUCUUCAGCUAGUUCUUUGCCUGGAAGUUUUUCUCAGAUGGGAUCACCCUCCUUAAAGGAAGCUGUAGCCCUAGGGGGUGAAGGCCCCAUGGUAGGCUGAGAAUUUGAGAACCUCCCUUCCUCAUCCCAGCCCCCAAACUUCUGCAGUCCCCCAGAAGUCACCUCCUCCUCCAGGAUGAGCCCUUCCCAAUGAGGGGUCAGAUAGGAUGCUAAAGGACUCACCAGCUGUCCACACUACUCCUCGGCCUAGGUGUGAAACUGCUGGAGAUUGCCCACCAGUGCCUGUAGGUAUCAUACCCCAACUGACUCUCUUGGGGCCAGGCCUUCACCCCAGCCUUUGAUCACACUAUUCCCAUAUACAUACAACCCUCACCCCCCUGCAGCCACCCUAGUCACCUUUGGGCACUUACCCCAGCUUUACUCCUUGCACGCUGUAACCAAGGUGGCUCUGGUCCUGGGGUACCAUUGUAACUUAGGGAAACUUCCAGAACCAGCCAGCGUGGACAACAGUCUCUGUGGCUGUACCCCACUUGCUGUGGCUUCAGUGGUGUGAUACCCACCCCAACAAGUUCUGGGGCACCCUGGGGGUUUGGACAUGGGUUUGCAGAGGGUGCUAUCCCUAAAGACCAGCCUGGCUCCCACCCUAGCCCCAGCAGGGGCCCUAGCAAUGUUUUCUUGUUGUACAAGAACCAGGUCCAAGUGUUGCCUCCUCUUCCUUCCGGAAGCUGAACUGCUCCUUUAUUUUUUAGAGCUGCUGAUUGUGAAUCUCAGAGUCUUAAGAGAGAAGCCAAAUAUAUAUUCCUCUUGUAAAUGAAGAAAUAAACCUAUUUAAAUGUU